This is a long non-coding RNA of Budorcas taxicolor (takin), 833 nucleotides long. RefSeq lists it as uncharacterized. NCBI's taxonomy places the organism in Eukaryota, Metazoa, Chordata, Mammalia, Artiodactyla, Bovidae. The transcript has 3 exons. The record is from RefSeq and is a predicted model, not a curated record.
CUUUGGACAAAUGUCUUCCAUCUUCCCCCACCCAGUUGCCGGCAUCUGAAAUAAAGCACCUUUCUACCAGCCUGGCCUGUUUACUGGCUUUUGAGCAGUGAGCAGCUGGACCCCACCCACAUACCUUUCAGUAACAGAUUUGGUGCCAAAAGUGGGGCUGGCUACUGCUGGCUAUAGCUGGUUAUAGCUGGCCACUGCUGGCUAUGGUUGGUUAUGGCUGGCUACUGCUGACUAGGGCUGGUUAUGGCUGGCUCCUGCACUUUUAUGGCACCUGGCGUUCCUGGGUCUUCCAGGGGAGAGCUAUAGCUAUGACAAUGUAUGAGCCUGCUACUCAUGGCUAGCUAGCCCCAGGUAGGGGAUUUGGGGGACAUUCCUAGCAGUUGCCAAAGCCAUUUGAUUUGAGGAUCCUCCCUGUUUCUACCCUGCUCAGCACUGACUGCCAACUUACGCUUUUCUUGGCGGAAUGGAAACUUGCACUUGGGAUAAAAUGAUGAGCUCCAAGACCAGUUUCAACUUCCCUUUAUCCAUUACACUUUGGACUCAAAUGCUGGAUCACUUACUGUGCAUGACAUUGGAGACUUGGAACUCUGGAUCCUGGGGCUGUACUCCACUGGGGAGGAAGCGCUGAAUAUUCUCUGUGAGUAUGAUCAAACCAUAGGCGGGCAUUUGACUCACCUUCAGAAGAUUUCCAGUAGGAUACGCCAAUAGCAUGAAGACUAACAGGAUGAGAAGCCAUAUUCUGAAAUGUGAUGACCACGGUGUCAUAAACCUCAGCCUGGAUAGUUGGACCCAGCAGACCUGCAAGAAGGACAUGUUCCCCCAAAUGUCAUUUG